AAACUCAAAUGAAUUGACGGGGAGCACCACAACGGGUGGAGCUUGCGGUUUAAUUGGAUUCAACGCCGGAAAUCUUACCGGGACCGACAGCAAUAUGAAGGCCAGGCUGAAGACUUUGCCGGAUUAGCUGAGAGGUGGUGCAUGGCCGUCGUCAGUUCGUACUGUGAAGCAUCCUGUUAAGUCAGGCAACGAGCGAGACCCACGCCCACAGUUGCCAGCGUACUCUCCGGAGUGACGGGUACACUGUGGGGACCGCCGCUGCUAAAGCGGAGGAAGGAAUGGGCAACGGUAGGUCAGUAUGCCCCGAAUAUCCCGGGCUACACGCGAGCUACAAUGGUUGGUACAAUGGGUAUCUACCCCGAAAGGGGACGGGAAUCUCCUAAAACCAAUCUUAGUUCGGAUUGAGGGCUGCAACUCGCCCUCAUGAAGCUGGAAUCCGUAGUAAUCGCGUUUCAACAGAACGCGGUGAAUACGUCCCUGCUCCUU
Molecule: ribosomal RNA, 486 nt
Filed under: uncultured Methanosaeta sp.
Lineage: Archaea; Methanobacteriati; Methanobacteriota; Methanomicrobia; Methanotrichales; Methanotrichaceae
Description: bacterial SSU rRNA
Rfam family: Archaeal small subunit ribosomal RNA
Source: RNAcentral